Long non-coding RNA from Manis pentadactyla (Chinese pangolin), 1045 nucleotides. RefSeq lists it as uncharacterized. The record is from RefSeq and is a predicted model, not a curated record. The transcript has 3 exons. NCBI's taxonomy places the organism in Eukaryota, Metazoa, Chordata, Mammalia, Pholidota, Manidae.
AUAACAAUACCUUUGGAAGUAUUUCAAGGAGCAAUUUCUCAUCACUCUUAUUUCGUGAGGAGAAGAAAGGAAGAAAAUUGUAAUUAUGAAAGUUCUCUAUCCUAACUUACUGGUCUUGCUGGACAAGAGAAUUCUUCUGAAUGACAGCCAAACGACUGAGAAUAUCCAGUGGUAUAUUUUCAUACUACUCCCACAUCCUCGAGGAAUACCCCAGAGUUCUACUGGGUGAGGACAGGGAAGUGGGACAUCCUAACAGCCACCUGGGGUUUUCCAUGUGCUACAUCCUUCCGUACGUCUAGGGACUGGAACUGCCUCUUGUUCCCUUCUCUCAGGUUUAGAUCAUUCUACUCUGUGAAAGUAAGUAAUGGUUUCAAGGAGACCGCUCUUAACUGGUUCAUCACCUCCCAAUUAUUUCCCUCUUUUCUUCAAAAUAUAAUCACUCUGUGGUCAAGUAAACAUGAGAAUGCUUCAAUAAACAAGUAUACCAUACAGUAAAUAUUAAAGUAGUAUCUUUAUUUUGUAUGGUUGUAUGUAUCAUUUGACCUAGGGAAACCACCUAUAGGAUUUUUGUUGUUAGGUUCAUUAUAAUCAUAUAAACAGCAUUGUUAUCAGGGCCCAUUCAGUAAAUUAUAGACACAGUGUUCUUCAAUGGAAUUCUGGCAUCUGUUACAAUGGGAUUCUGGCUUGACAAAGUUAGAAAAUUACAAAAGUAUCAAGUUAAAAUGGACUAGAAGAGAUGUAACCUUUGUUGCAUGCUAAUAAAGGCUACACAAAGCUCUUAGGCGUAUGAUUUUUUCUCCCAAAACCACAAAGCAAAUGUUUUACUUAUUUUAUAAAUGACGAAAUUGAGGUUCAUACUGCUAGAAAGUGGGAGAGCUAAGAAUUGACCUGAAUCAAUCUGACCUCUUCUACUACCCUGGGCUAGCAGGCCUGGGAAAGGCAGGGAGGAAGUAGAUGAUCAGAAGCAGGCAACAAAGAAAUGAAACCACUGUAUUAUAACCAUGCAAAGAAACAAUGGCUACACACUUAACCCAGGGAGAACACA